UUACUCGAUAAUGAUAUGAAC
RNAcentral lists this microRNA (21 nucleotides) under Populus x canadensis (hybrid black poplar). RNAcentral describes it as "PC-5p-359200_2". The record is from RNAcentral. Lineage: Eukaryota; Viridiplantae; Streptophyta; Magnoliopsida; Malpighiales; Salicaceae.